This 48-nucleotide non-coding RNA is filed under the name Trypanosoma brucei brucei. Lineage: Eukaryota; Euglenozoa; Kinetoplastea; Trypanosomatida; Trypanosomatidae. The record is from RNAcentral.
AUACAAUAACAAUAUGGAUACGAUGUGCAGUGUGAUUUGUAGAUUAAU